Molecule: ribosomal RNA, 461 nt
Filed under: uncultured bacterium
Lineage: Bacteria
Description: partial 16S ribosomal RNA
Rfam family: Bacterial small subunit ribosomal RNA
Source: RNAcentral
CCUACGGGAGGCAGCAGUGAGGAAUAUUGGUCAAUGGGCGAGAUCCUGAACCAGCCAAGCCGCGUGAGGGAAGACGGCCCUAUGGGUUGUAAACUUCUUUUGUCGGAGAAUAAAACCCGGGAUGUCUCCUGGAUUGCGUAUAUCCGAAGAAAAAGCAUCGGCUAACUCCGUGCCAGCAGCCGCGGUAAUACGGGGGGUGCGAGCGUUAUCCGGGAUUAAUGGGGUGAAAGGGUGCGGAGGCUGUGAGGUAAGUCAACGGUUGAAUGCCCCCGCUUAACGGGGUGAAGUGCCAUUGAUACUGCCUUUCUGGAAUGCGGAUGCCGUAGGAGGAAUGUGUGGUGUAGCGGUGAAAUGCAUAGAUAUCACGCAGAACACCGAUUGCGAAGGCAGCUCACGAAACCGCAAUUGACGCUGAUGCACGAAAGCGUGGGUAUCAAACAGGAUUAGAUACCCUUGUAGUC